RNAcentral lists this ribosomal RNA (885 nucleotides) under Cladosporium sp. 1 BFW3PhG2. RNAcentral's name for it is "SSU rRNA". It matches the Rfam family "Eukaryotic small subunit ribosomal RNA", at positions 58 to 953 of the family's 1831-position model. Lineage: Eukaryota; Fungi; Ascomycota; Dothideomycetes; Cladosporiales; Cladosporiaceae. The record is from RNAcentral.
UCUAAGUAUAAGCAACUAUACGGUGAAACUGCGAAUGGCUCAUUAAAUCAGUUAUCGUUUAUUUGAUAGUACCUUACUACAUGGAUAACCGUGGUAAUUCUAGAGCUAAUACAUGCUAAAAACCCCGACUUCGGAAGGGGUGUAUUUAUUAGAUAAAAAACCAAUGCCCUUCGGGGCUCCUUGGUGAAUCAUAAUAACUUAACGAAUCGCAUGGCCUUGCGCCGGCGAUGGUUCAUUCAAAUUUCUGCCCUAUCAACUUUCGAUGGUAGGAUAGUGGCCUACCAUGGUAUCAACGGGUAACGGGGAAUUAGGGUUCGACUCCGGAGAGGGAGCCUGAGAAACGGCUACCACAUCCAAGGAAGGCAGCAGGCGCGCAAAUUACCCAAUCCCGACACGGGGAGGUAGUGACAAUAAAUACUGAUACAGGGCUCUUUUGGGUCUUGUAAUUGGAAUGAGUACAAUUUAAAUCCCUUAACGAGGAACAAUUGGAGGGCAAGUCUGGUGCCAGCAGCCGCGGUAAUUCCAGCUCCAAUAGCGUAUAUUAAAGUUGUUGCAGUUAAAAAGCUCGUAGUUGAACCUUGGGCCUGGCUGGCCGGUCCGCCUCACCGCGUGUACUGGUCCGGCCGGGCCUUUCCUUCUGGGGAACCUCAUGCCCUUCACUGGGCGUGCUGGGGAACCAGGACUUUUACUUUGAAAAAAUUAGAGUGUUCAAAGCAGGCCUUUGCUCGAAUACAUUAGCAUGGAAUAAUAGAAUAGGACGUGUGGUUCUAUUUUGUUGGUUUCUAGGACCGCCGUAAUGAUUAAUAGGGAUAGUCGGGGGGCAUCAGUAUUCAAGCGUCAGAGGUGAAAUUCUUGAAUUGCUUGAAGAUUAACUACUGCGAAGCA